RNAcentral lists this ribosomal RNA (482 nucleotides) under uncultured bacterium. Its description in RNAcentral is "partial 16S ribosomal RNA". It matches the Rfam family "Bacterial small subunit ribosomal RNA", at positions 30 to 507 of the family's 1533-position model. The record is from RNAcentral.
AUUGAACGCUGGCGGCAUGCUUUACACAUGCAAGUCGAACGGUAACAGGCCGCAAGGUGCUGACGAGUGGCGAACGGGUGAGUAAUGCAUCGGAACGUGCCCAGUCGUGGGGGAUAACUACUCGAAAGAGUAGCUAAUACCGCAUACGAUCUAUGGAUGAAAGCGGGGGACCGUAAGGCCUCGCGCGAUUGGAGCGGCCGAUGUCAGAUUAGGUAGUUGGUGGGGUAAAGGCUCACCAAGCCAACGAUCUGUAGCUGGUCUGAGAGGACGACCAGCCACACUGGGACUGAGACACGGCUCAGACUCCUACGGGAGGCAGCAGUGGGGAAUUUUGGACAAUGGGCGCAAGCCUGAUCCAGCAAUGCCGCGUGCAGGAAGAAGGCCUUCGGGUUGUAAACUGCUUUUGUACGGAACGAAACGGCUCUGGUUAAUACCCGGGGCUAAUGACGGUACCGUAAGAAUAAGCACCGGCUAACUACGUG